AUUGAACGCUGGCGGCAUGCCUUACACACGCAAGUCGAACGGCAGCACGGGAGCAAUCCUGGUGGCGAGUGGCGAACGGGUGAGUAAUAUAUCGGAACGUGCCCAGUCGUGGGGGAUAACGUAGCGAAAGCUACGCUAAUACCGCAUACGAUCUAUGGAUGAAAGCGGGGGAUCGCAAGACCUCGCGCGAUUGGAGCGGCCGAUAUCAGAUUAGGUAGUUGGUGAGGUAAAGGCUCACUAAGCCGACGAUCUGUAGCUGGUCUGAGAGGACGACCAGCCACACUGGGACUGAGACACGGCCCAGACUCCUACGGGAGGCAGCAGUGGGGAAUUUUGGACAAUGGGCGCAAGCCUGAUCCAGCAAUGCCGCGUGCAGGAUGAAGGCCU
This 387-nucleotide ribosomal RNA is filed under the name uncultured bacterium. RNAcentral's name for it is "bacterial SSU rRNA". It matches the Rfam family "Bacterial small subunit ribosomal RNA", at positions 30 to 417 of the family's 1533-position model. The record is from RNAcentral.